RNAcentral lists this ribosomal RNA (450 nucleotides) under uncultured bacterium. RNAcentral's name for it is "partial 16S ribosomal RNA". It matches the Rfam family "Bacterial small subunit ribosomal RNA", at positions 354 to 796 of the family's 1533-position model. The record is from RNAcentral.
GUGGGGAAUUUUGGACAAUGGGCGCAAGCCUGAUCCAGCAAUGCCGCGUGCAGGAAGAAGGCCUUCGGGUUGUAAACUGCUUUUGUACGGAACGAAACGGUCCUGGCUAAUACCUGGGGCUAAUGACGGUACCGUAAGAAUAAGCACCGGCUAACUACGUGCCAGCAGCCGCGGUAAUACGUAGGGUGCGAGCGUUAAUCGGAAUUACUGGGCGUAAAGCGUGCGCAGGCGGUGCUGUAAGACAGGCGUGAAAUCCCCGGGCUCAACCUGGGAAUUGCGCUUGUGACUGCAGUGCUGGAGUGAGGCAGAGGGGGAUGGAAUUCCGCGUGUAGCAGUGAAAUGCGUAGAUAUGCGGAGGAACACCGAUGGCGAAGGCAAUCCCCUGGGCCUGCACUGACGCUCAUGCACGAAAGCGUGGGGAGCAAACAGGAUUAGAAACCCCUGUAGUCC